RNAcentral lists this long non-coding RNA (550 nucleotides) under Gallus gallus (chicken). Its description in RNAcentral is "lncRNA (ENSGALG00010008724.1)". Lineage: Eukaryota; Metazoa; Chordata; Aves; Galliformes; Phasianidae. The record is from RNAcentral.
ACAUUUCUGAAAAAGAAAGUGAAUCGAGACAAUUUGCAGAAGUGAAGGUCAUCCAGCUGGCUUUAGAUGUUGCUGAAAGAGAGAGUGACUAGUACUGUACCUAUGCACUGGCUCUUGGAUGGUGACAUAUGCUCCUUGAGGGUGGUUACUACAAUGUAAGCAGAACAACCGGUAACUCAGAGGCAAGCUCAUCUGGGUUGUUGCAUUGUGGAAAGAUAUUACUGCACAGAUAAGGAACAUGGAUGUAAAAGUACAUCACAUAUAUGUCCACAAACCCGACAGUCAUUUCACGGAGAAACAUCGAAACAACAAGCAGAUGGCCAUUAGGAUCGAAGUGGCUCAGGAUGGUUAGAGAAUGUAAUAAUCCAAUUGACUCCUGAGAUUCACGAACAACAUAUCCCCAGGACACAAUUCACCCUCUGCCCCAAAAUGAUGGAUCUCAGCUGAAAGAUUUCUGGGAUGUCCACCAAUGAAAAUCAAAGUUCUUCUUCAGAAAUAGGCACAAAUCUUUCUUUGUCUCCUGGUCGUAUUCGCUAUGACUCUAUUUUCU